GUCGCUCGAGGCUCGCUAAGACCUCGCUCGAGCGACCAUGUUAUCUAGCCAAACCUAAUUUUAAACGCUCGCGAAUAUUUGACGCUCCACAUUACCAUGUGUCGACCUCUAUAAAUACCAAACGUCCAAUUCGUGUUCAUUAACCCGAAUAUACACAUUGAAAUCACUUUGACUAUUUUCUUUCAAAUCCUUGGCAACCUAAAAUCAAAAUCCUUCUUCUCCAAGGAUCACAAGCCAAAAACCUUUCAUAGUGUUCAUCCAAAUCCAUGGCUUGUUGAGUAAAAACAUCGAAUACACAAACACCAAAACACCUGUUUCUCAACUCCAAUUAAACUUCCAGAAGAUCAUCAGCUUGAAGAUCCGGGAAGGACUUGCUUGAAGAGCUGGAGUGCGUGGCGAUUCACGGGAGGUAGAAAUUGUACAAGGCUGGGAUUUAGCACGGAGCUGCAAAUCCAUGAGGGUCUUGAUUUCAUACAGCAAGGAGGUCAGAAAAAUUGAGAGGGUCAAUUGAGUCUGGCGUGCUGUAAGUUAGUUUCUACAUAGUGGAUCUCUACUGGCUUGUGCCUGGAGUUUUCCCAUAUUGGGUUUCUCCGUCAACAUGUUUGGUGUGUUUUUACCGCUUUAAUUUAUUUACUUGUCAACGGUAAUUCAACAUAAGUAGAUAAAGCACGUGAAUUAAUCUAGACUAAUUAUAAUUUGUGUGACUUGUUGCAUGAAUUGUUGAAAAAGUUUUUAAUUCCGCAAGAACACCUAUUCACCCCCCCUCUAGGUGUUAGUUGGGUCAAACGAUAAGUUUUUCAAGUGGUAUCUGAGCCUAAUCUCGAAUCCUGACCCAUAGUUGUCUAGAUAAGUCAAUCGCUGUCUAUACCUCCGUUUUUCGACGGAAGUAAUUAUGCAUAUUGGAAGGUUAGGAUGCGUGCAUUCCUUAAGUCCUUAGAUGAGCAUGUUUGGAUUAGUGUUCAAAAUGGAUGGAAACCUCCCUCUACUAUCGUAUCAGGAAACAUUCACCUUACUGACAUAUCUGUGUGGACUAAAGAUGAAUUAGCUGCUUGUAAUUGGAAUAGUAAGGAAAUUCAUGCAUUAUUCAUGGCUCUAUCUCCAGAAGAGUUUAGGAGAGUCUCUAUGUGCGAAACUGCUAAAGAGGUUUGGGACAUUCUCGAAACUACACAUGAGGGAAAUAAGAUAGUAAAGAACUCAAAAUUGCAAAUGCUAGCCUCUAGGUUUGAAGAAGUAAGGAUGAAAGAUGAUGAAACCUUUGAUGAGUUUUAUGCUAAACUAAAUGAUAUAGUUAACUCUAGUUUCAACCUAGGUCAGAGAAUUCCCGAGACUAAAAUUGUGAGAAAAGUACUUAGAUCCCUACCUGAGAGAUUUAGACCUAAAGUCACUGCCAUUGAGGAAAGUAAGGACCUAGAUGAAGUUGAGAUCGAAGAAUUGAUAGGAUCAUUGCAAACCUAUGAACUCACUCUCUCACAACAUAAGAAAGGAAAGUCUAUAGCCCUAAAAUCCAUUAAAGAAGAUGAAUCGUCUGAUACGGAGUCACUUAGGGAUGAGGAAAUUGCAUACUUUGUUAAGAAGUUUCAAAAAGUCCUCAAUAAUAGGAGAAAGCCUCAGGAUAGAAAGAGUGGAGCCCCUAGCAGAUUCACAAAAGAUAAAAUUGAAUAGGAAGAAGUAUAUGUGGAACAACAUAAGGGAUUUGUUGAUCCAAAAUUUCCCCACUAUGUCUACAAGCUUCACAAAGCUCUUCAUGGUCUGAAGCAAGCUCCUAGAGCUGGUAUGAGAGACUCACAUCAUAUCUUGAAGAACAUGGAUUCUCUCGAGGUGGUGCUGAUAGGACUUUAUUCAUUAGACAUAUAGAAGAAAAUUUUACCAUAGCUCAGAUCUAUGUCGAUGAUAUCAUCUUUGGUUCUCCUCUUGAGUCUUUAGCGGUUGAGUUUGCUGAGUGUCUGCAGAGAGAGUUCGAGAUGAGUAUGGCUGGGGAGUUGAGUAAUUUCCUAGGACUUCAGGUACGACAGACAGAGGAUGGACUGUUUAUCUCACAGUCUAAGUAUGCUAGGGAUCUGGUUAAGCGAUUUGGGUUAGAUAGUAAGAAGCAUACUAGGACACUGAUGAGUACUAGCUUAAAGUUAGGUCGUGAUCCUUCUGGCAAGAGUGUAGAUCCUUCUCUUUAUCGUAGCAUGAUAGGUAGUCUUCUCUAUCUCACGGUUACUAGACCAGACAUUGCCUUUAGUAUAGGAGUGUGUGCUCAUUUUCAGGCAGAUCCAAAAGAGUAGUAGUAAGCUUCAGGAGUCACUUAAGAGUGGUAGUGAGUUAAAAUGUGUCAAUAAGAAAUUGUAAGACAACGUUAAGAGUUUGACUAGUGAAUUGGAGAAAUCUAAUGCUCAUCUUCAGACAUUCAUAAGUGGAACUAAGAAAUUAGAUAACCAGUUGGGAAUGAAUAAGCCAGUAGGAGACAAGAGAGGUCUAGGAUAUGUUGAGGGUAAUACAACUAUCGCUGGACCAUCUAAGACGUAGCUGUAGGGAGUUGCUGUACUCAGCUUCUCUGGAUGAAACAAAUGCUUAGUGACUAUGGGAUUAGUCAAGGGACUAUGACUAUCUUCUGUGUUCCUAGGGAACAGAGUCAACAAUCACGUAGGAACAUCAGGACUAGGUACCCACAGACACGUACCUUUGAGCCUAGGUUCAUUCCCACCUGCCACCACUAUGGUGCUCUAGGACACACUAGGCCUAGAUGUUACAAGUUAGGAAAUGAGCGUAGAAGUCAAAACAUUCCUAGUCAGGUUAGCUUUCUGUCUAAUCAGGUGAGUCACUUGACUGAGAUGCUUACUAGGUUACUUACAAAACCACUAGAUGGGUUGAGGUUUGAGUCACUCCAGUCGGCUGUAGGUGUUAGUUCACCUAUUUGAUCAUGUGUUCAUACACGUUCAUACUUUCAUCACAUUGCAUGUGUGUGUGUGUGUGUGAUGCAUUUUGUGUGUUUGUUUCGUCUUAGUUUGCUGAUUUUGCUUGUGUGUUUAAAAAAAAAUGGGGAUUUUGCUUGUGUGUGCCUUAUAUGCUCGAUUCUGGCAAUUGCAUUUAGAAUUUUACUCUUUUAUUCAUCAUAUGUACGAGUCUGAGGUUCCAUCUUUGCUCACAUUGUCUAUGGAGUUUUGGGUAUAUGGCUCGUCUUUCACCUUUGCACAGCACACACUGUAGUCCUGUUAGUGAGUCUUGACCGCAUGGGUCAGACUUGGGAUGGUGGUUCACUAUGAUUGGGGUUGUGUGUCCAUUUGACUUGAUCUGGGACAAGUGUCACCUAAUCAUAAUGUCUUUCCCCACGUUUAUUGUAUUGUGUCGAACUUUUACUAUCUUCGGGGCCUAUUUGACUCGAACUAUUAAGCCCGAUGGGUUUUUAACCUGGUGCCCUAAGGUCAUUUGACUUGGGAGUCACCGACCCAACGUUCGUUAUGGGGGUCAUUUCUGUCGCCUAAUGAGGAUAGCAUUGCACUUAAGUUCGCUUGUUUAAAACAAAAAAAACAAAAAAAAAACAUGAGAUCAUUAAGUUAGGGGGAGUAAAAAUGUGACAUUUGUAUCAUUUGAUAUAGGUCCUCGUGUUGAGAGUCUAGGUGGUAAGCGAUACAUCCUUGUCGUUGUAGACGACUUCUCGAGGUUUACUUGGACAGAAUUGCUUAGGGAAAAAUCUGAUGCUUGUGACCUCAUAAAGUCUCUGUGUAAACGGCUUAGCAAUGAACUGAAUAUCAAAGUAAAAAUGUGACAUUUGUAUCAUUUGAUAUAGGUCCUCGUGGUAUUGGAUUUGAUUGUCACUUGGUCGACAUACACCUUUGUUUGGUUAGCUUCACGUGUCCCUUCUCACUAAUUUAAAGUUUUGAGUCUAGCUUGCAUGGACUACGUGGCACUUUUCACGGUGUUGGUCUGUAUACACUUUACUCCACGGGUAUUUGAUCUCUGUGUGGACUUAUGUUCUGUCUAUAUGCUGGGUAUCGGGUUUGUGACUUUAUGUUUUUAUUUGGGCUCGAUUGCAUAUUCGGUUCCACAUGUUAAAGUUUUGAAAUUCGGGGCUAUUUUCGUAAAUUUCCUACUGUUAUGCCAUUUUUCGAAGAAUUCAAAAUCUUAGUGCUAUUUUUGAAAAUUGCCCUUUCGCUUGAGUCUCGUUUAUACCUCGCUCGAGCGUCAUUAACAGAACACUAUCGCUCGAGGCUCGCUGACUGUCUCGCUCGAGCGACAGUGCGGGUUUUUCAAUUCCUGGUUCAUUUCACGCGUUUAAGUUUUCAAAUUUAGCCUCCGUUUUCAUCCGUUUCUUCUUUUGAGCUGACAUUUCUUCCCCAAAUCUUCUAAAUUGAUUGUUUCGAAGCUACAACACCCAAUUUCAACAUCAAAAUUCCAUUUUGAACGUCAAUUGAGGUAGGUUUUUCCAUUUGUUUUCAUUUUUUUCAUUUUUUUUUUAUUUUUCCUCAUCUCUUUCCAUUUUGUUUGAUUCAUUGCUUCUAUUACAUGAGUUCGUAGCCUCUAGCAUGUUUAGCAUCGUUGGAUUGAAGUUUCUUGCACGUUGAAUUCAUGUAUUACAUAGCAUUGUGUGAUUUUUGCUUGAUUUGUGCUUGUGUUUUACUUAUGUUUUGUGUGAUUUUCAUCCAUGUUCAUCGCUUUGGUUCUUCCAUUCCGUAACUCCGUUUUGCGUGUGGUUUGUUUCUUUGUGAAGAGCAUGUUGCCUAGUUUGUGAGUUUGUGUUUGGUUGCAUGGUUACGUCUCUUGUGUGCUUGGAAAUUCGUGCCAAAGUGUCGCACGCCACAUGUUCGAUGAAUUGACUUAACUAUUUCUGUCCUUCUUUGGCAUGGUUGGUUCUUUUUCUUUUUGCAUUUUUUUCUCCAUUGGAAUUGUGUGCAUAUUCUUAGUCGAGUGUCAGGGUCGUGAUAACUUUGGUCUUAGGGUCGAUCGCAUUUUUUGAUGUCUCAUUUUUGUGUCUCAUUUGUGUGCAUGGUGUGCCAUGUCACAUUGCAUCAUUUCACGUGCAUUUUUCAUGUAUCUCAUUUCUUGCUUCUUUACGUGUGCCAGAUGGCCUGUAAGCGAUCACAUCCCUCUUUCCAGCCAGCUAGUGGUUCUACGUCGUACAGUCGAUCGCGAUUCAUUUCUGCCACUGCUCAGGAGGUUUUCACUUCCCAGUUCUCCUUACGCCCCGUUCUCAUGGAGCGUGAGGUAAUUUUGUCUGACCUUCCCGUAGAGAUAGCUGCCAUCUUAGUGUCUCGGGGUUGGGAGCCUUUGCUUGUUGGUCUAUCACCUCCACCCCCUCUUCUAGUUCAGGAGUUCUAUGCGAACAUCCACGAUAUUGACGGGUCGUCUUUUAGGGUUUUUCUGCAGGGUCAUACGUUUAGAGUUACACCUUCUGCUGUAGCUCGUGCUUUAGGUAUUCCUGAGAUUACCCAUCCUACGUACCCCUAUAUUUUACCUUCUUCUGUUCCGGCCGACUCCCUUGUUCGGUCGACGAUUUUGAACACCCCGUCUGUCGGGGGGCCUACGGCGAUGGCCACGGGUUCUUUACCCACUGAUCGCUAGGUUUUGUUACGCAUUGUGUGCACGAACCUAUGGCCCAUAGCCCAUACUUCUUCUUUACCCAUGGGGCGGGCCCGCUUUCUUUAUGCCCUACUUCGCGGGGACUCGAUUGACCUUCCUAGUUUUGUUUGCCAGCAGAUUCUGGCUUCGUUUCGUACUCCAGGGGGUCGGAUCGGGUUACCAUAUGCUUGUUUGAUCCAUAGGGUAGCUUUAUCUUUAGGUGCUUCAUUUCCAGAGAGUUCGACUCGACGCAUUGGACGUCCGAUUGGACAACAGACUAUACAUCAGAGUCGUUCUCAUAUUCCUGCUUCUUCUUCUUCUUCUCAUGCUCCAGCUGCGGCUGCGGUUUUUGAUGUUGUUGAUUCAUCCGAGCCCCUUGAUCCUAUUUUUGAUAUUCUUACUGGGGGUUCUCGGGUCUUUCUUCCUUCUCGUUCCGCUCCUCCUCUAGCUAUUCCGCUCAGCUCCUCCGGUCCUUCUAUUUCUACAUCAGUGCCUGGGGUGGCUACAUUGCCCGUUGACCCCUUGGUGCCGCUUAUGGGUCCGAUGACUACACUGAUCGAGCAGCAGACUCGUAUCUUAGCUGAGAUCACGCAGAUACGUGCUGCUUCGGAGCGUCAGUCCGCCAAGAUGACUACGUUUCGCCGUGCUCUUGCUGUCUGUCAGCGUCAGUUGCGCUGGAUUCGAGAUCAUUUGGAAGUGAGCACGAGUGCUGAGAGUGGCUCUGAUUCGUCCGAUGCUGCAGAUACUGCUUCUUAGCUUGUUUUGUUGGUUUCUGUAUCUUUGGCCCUUUGUGACAAAAAGGGGGAGUAGAUAGAUUAAUUUGACUGGAGUAGAUUGCGUAGAUAUUAGAGCAGAGAAUUGUUUUUGAUAACUGUGAUAUAAAAUUGAUGUAUAUAUGUCAUUUUAUAACUAGAUUAAGUUUUUGAUGUUUUAGCAAUCUUAAUGUCUGUUUUUGGUGUUUUAGACAUACAUUAUUAUUACUUCUUAAUCUGGUUAAUGAUAUAUGAUUUAUAUCUUGUCUCUGUUUACUGUUUCCAUUUCACAUACGUUUUCACGUGGUAUUUGAGUUUUGUUUUUCAGAAAACAGGUUCAACAAGAUAUUGCCAAUGUAAUAGAAUAGAUUGGUAGUUUGGUGUCAAUUUGUUUUUAUCCUUGACUGUCAAAUGUGUUUUUGUCACAGAAUGUCAAAGGGGGAGUUUGUUAGGAAUAUAUGUAAUUGGCAAAUCUGUGACCAAGGACCAAAAUGUCAAAAUUGUAAAGUCAAAGAUCAAAUUGUCAAAAUUGUAAGGUCAAGGACCAAAUUGUCAACGUCCAAUAGUUCAGGGACUAGAGUUGCAAUUAACCAAAGUUUGUAGGCUUGGUCUAGGGUUGUGUGGGAUGCCUCGAAGACGCAAACGGCGCGAUGAUUUCGCUAGAGUCACGCCAUGACCUCGCUCGAGCCACAAUUGCAGAAACAACUUCGCUGGACAGACGCUGGACUGUCGCUCAAGCGGAAGACACGUCGCUCGAGGCUCGCUAAGACCUCACUCGAGCGACCAUGUUAUCUAGCCAAACGUAAUUUUAAACGCUCGCGAAUAUUUGACGCUCCACAUUACCAUGUGUCGACCUCUAUAAAUACCAAACGUCCAAUUCGUGUUCAUUAACCCGAAUAUACACAUUGAAAUCACUUUGAUUAUUUUCUUUCAAAUCCUUGGCAACCUAAAAUCAAAAUCCUUCUUCUCCAAGGAUCACAAGCCAAAAACCUUUCAUAGUGUUCAUCCAAAUCCAUGGCUUGUUGAGUAAAAACAUCGAAUACACAAACACCAAAACACCUGUUUCUCAACUCCAAUUAAACUUCCAGAAGA
This 7385-nucleotide long non-coding RNA is filed under the name Olea europaea (common olive). RNAcentral describes it as "long non-coding RNA (OEUR_LNC004500)". The record is from RNAcentral. Lineage: Eukaryota; Viridiplantae; Streptophyta; Magnoliopsida; Lamiales; Oleaceae.